GACGAACGCUGGCGGCGUGCUUAACACAUGCAAGUCGAACGGUGAAGGGGUCUGCUUUUGUGGGCCCUGGAUGAGUGGCGCACGUGUGAGUAACACGUGAGUAACCUGCCCCCUUCUUCUGGAUAACCGCAUGAAAGUGUGGCUAAUACGGGAUAUUCUGGGUCUGUCGCAUGAUGGGUCUGGGAAAGAUUGCGCCUUUGGGUGUUUUUGGUGGGGGAUGGGCUCGCGGCCUAUCAGCUUGUUGGUGGGGUGAUGGCCUACCAAGGAGGUGACGGGUAGCCGGCCUGGGGGGGUGGACGGUCACACUGGGACUGAGACACGGCCCAGACUCGUACGGGGGGCAGCAGUGGGGAAUAUUGCACAAUGGGCGCAAGCCUGAUGCAGCGACGCCGCGUGAGGGAUGGAGGCCUUCGGGUUGUAAACCUCUUUCGCCAGUGAAGCAGGCCUGCUCCUUGUGGGUGGGUUGACGGUAGCUGGAUAAGAAGCGCCGGCUAACUACGUG
Molecule: ribosomal RNA, 502 nt
Filed under: uncultured bacterium
Lineage: Bacteria
Description: partial 16S ribosomal RNA
Rfam family: Bacterial small subunit ribosomal RNA
Source: RNAcentral